AAAGCGGAGUAGAAGACACUACCGCUGUCGAGGCCGCCGCCGCAGCUGUCGCGGCAGCAGCCAACCCCGACGCGCCGUGGCCGGCCGUGCGCGCGCGCAAGAGCGGCGGAAGAGGCGGCGCGGCAGGGGAUACAACUGGGGACGCAGCCGGGCUGCGCUCAGACACAAAUGCCGCGCUCUCGGGGACUUGGGUCCCUGGCAAAGGGAGUCUCUCUGUCCCAAGCCGUUUUCGCUCCAGAAAACGUGCCAGAGAGCAGACCGUCCUAAUGCAGUAAAAGAGUUGAGGAGAGUGGAAUGAUUGGUAGAGGUGGUGGGGUGGUUUGAAAGACGGGAAUAUAGGGGGCGGAAACCCUCAAAACGCGACUGCGCACGCGCGCGCCGGGCGCGGACGCUCACAGGUUCCCAGGGUAUCCGCCUCAAGCGGGGAAUAUGGGCGCAAGCGCGGAGUCACCGUGUUACGCAUGCGUGCGAACGAACCGUGUUCCGGAACCGGAAGAAGAAGUUCUCUCUUGCCUCACGAUGGGUAGGCCGGUGCUUCCGAACCGCGGAAUGAAGGUUCUCCUAAGCUGGAGACCCACGGAAAGAACCUAGAAGCUCCGAGAGGUUGCAAACAGCACUGCAUUGAACCAACGCCUCCUGCUCUACUGAUGGUGAUUCCACAGCUUUGUGAGGAAUAAGUUAAGAUGAAAAUGUUAUUUUAUCUGGAAGAAGAGGAAUCAGAAAGAAAAGGAGUCAGGAAUGGAUCUUACUCAGAAGGCUGACUAGACACAGCCAGGUGGAAGAGCUCCCACUGCGGGACCAAGAUGACUGGAAUGCCCCUAACAGAUCUUCAGAGGGAAGAAACCAAUAGUAGACAGAGAGAAGACACAGAAGCUGGGCUGAAGAUAGCGAAAGCUGGGAAUGUGGUACAGGGCUACUGCACACCAGUUUUUGUUCCUGGCCUACAAUGGCUCUGGGGGAUCAGCCAUGUAAGAUGUGCCUGUUUCCCCUUCACCUUCUGUUAUGAUGGGAGUUUCCACACCUGCUGGGAUUACAGGUGUGAGCCACCACGCCUGGCCUGUCAUUUAGCUUUUGACAAUCAGACGUGAGACUUGAAUUUGGAACUGAUUUACUGAGGAGGAGAGGCAAGACAUACGCGUCUGUUUUGUUAGUGAAGACCCCACCAGAAGCGGACAACUCGGAGGCCUCC
Piliocolobus tephrosceles (Ugandan red Colobus) is the source of this 1189-nucleotide long non-coding RNA. RefSeq lists it as uncharacterized. The transcript is spliced from 3 exons. NCBI's taxonomy places the organism in Eukaryota, Metazoa, Chordata, Mammalia, Primates, Cercopithecidae. The record is from RefSeq and is a predicted model, not a curated record.